RNAcentral lists this ribosomal RNA (321 nucleotides) under Triticum aestivum (bread wheat). RNAcentral describes it as "partial small subunit ribosomal RNA". Lineage: Eukaryota; Viridiplantae; Streptophyta; Magnoliopsida; Poales; Poaceae. The record is from RNAcentral.
AUGUAUGAGACACAUGUGCUUCCUAAUGGAGUCCAAGGAAAGAGCAAGCCUGAUGCUGAAUGGGGAGAUACAUGUCUAAGAAUCGCUCAUAGAAUUCAGAACAGAAAUGUAAAGACAUACAGUUCACAGGAUGGGAUUGGCGAUCCGGAUCUUGAGUGCACAGAGAUCGUCCGCAGAAUCAUUCACAUAGCUCAACUUAACAAGGUAUGUCCUGCCGCCAACAUAAAUUUCAAGGUUCUUGAUACUCCCUACAGUUUCAAAGCUUGGAACGAUUUACAGGUUUUUGUUCUACAAUCUAAAUCCUGUUUGAGGUGGACAUAG